ACUCUAAGUCUUUUCUUAGGGUCUCUUCCAAAGUUUUCCUAGGUCUUCCUCUACCUCUUCGGCCCUGAACCUCUGUCCCGUAGUCACAUCUUCGAACCGGAGCGUCAGUAGGCAUUCUUUGCAUAUGUCCAAACCACCGUAACCGAUUUUCUUUCAUCUUUCCUUCAAUUUCGGCUACUCCUACUUUACCUCGGAUACCUUCAUUCCUACUUUACCUCGGAUAUCCUCAUUCCUAAUCUUAUCCUUUCUCGUGUGCCCACAUAUCCAACGAAGCA
RNAcentral lists this long non-coding RNA (275 nucleotides) under Malus domestica (apple). RNAcentral describes it as "long non-coding RNA (MDOM_LNC013768)". Lineage: Eukaryota; Viridiplantae; Streptophyta; Magnoliopsida; Rosales; Rosaceae. The record is from RNAcentral.